UACGUAGGGGGCUAGCGUUGUCCGGAAUCAUUGGGCGUAAAGGGCGCGUAGGCGGCCCUCUAAGUCAGACGUGAAAUCCCUCGGCUCAACCGGGGAACUGCGUCUGAGACUGGAAGGCUUGAAUUCGGGAGAGGGAUGUGGAAUUCCAGGUGUAGCGGUGAAAUGCGUAGAUAUCUGGAGGAACACCGGUGGCGAAGGCGGCAUCCUGGACCGAUAUUGACGCUGAUGCGCGAAAGCCAGGGGAGCAAACGGG
RNAcentral lists this ribosomal RNA (253 nucleotides) under uncultured bacterium. RNAcentral's name for it is "partial 16S ribosomal RNA". It matches the Rfam family "Bacterial small subunit ribosomal RNA", at positions 524 to 776 of the family's 1533-position model. The record is from RNAcentral.